UAAUUUAUAACUUUGAUAAAUUUACAUAGUUUUUCUAAUAUUACAAUAUUACAUGAAUUAAACAGUUGAUCAAAUUUAUAGAUAUUAGGGUUUGACCAGCAGUAUGUAGGUAAAAAAUUCUUUCUUUCAAACUUAAAAGAUCCACAAUUCAUAAUAUAAUGGUACUCGUCACCAAUGUCGUUUGAGUCACAUAGACGGUAGAUUC
RNAcentral lists this long non-coding RNA (205 nucleotides) under Mytilus galloprovincialis (Mediterranean mussel). Lineage: Eukaryota; Metazoa; Mollusca; Bivalvia; Mytilida; Mytilidae. The record is from RNAcentral.